GGAUUCAUUAUUGUGGUUGCCACUAAUUCAUAGGAUGUUCCAUUACAUUAUACCUUGAAGUCAAUCAAUUCUUUCCCGAUGUCUUCUUGUUUUUUUAAAACUCUUUCUAGUCAGAUAGAUUUCUAUCGUUAGUCUUGAAUUGUUCUCAAUUAGGCUUGUGCUACCGCACAUUCCCAUUCUAGCUGAAGCUGUGUCAUGAUUAU
RNAcentral lists this long non-coding RNA (203 nucleotides) under Prunus persica (peach). RNAcentral describes it as "long non-coding RNA (PPER_LNC002626)". The record is from RNAcentral. Lineage: Eukaryota; Viridiplantae; Streptophyta; Magnoliopsida; Rosales; Rosaceae.